CAGCUGGGUUAUCAGUGAAUACAGCUCUGCUCACCCUGGAAAGGACUGCGGGAAAACAGCAGUCCCUUUUAAGGACUUCUGCUCGUUACACAGAGGCUAUUGAAGCACUCAAAGACCCUCAACAAUCAAAAUUAAAAGAUAGUGGUCAGAGGACUACUGGUGAGGAGAGACCCCUAACUGGAUAAAAAGGACUCAAAAGAACUACAGUUCUCAGAGGACUACAUGGUUCUGAGAACACAUGGUUUGGCUCUAGAAGCUGGAAGGAGAGUGGCAAUCAAAAGACU
Long non-coding RNA from Rhinolophus ferrumequinum (greater horseshoe bat), 284 nucleotides. RefSeq lists it as uncharacterized. The record is from RefSeq and is a predicted model, not a curated record. NCBI's taxonomy places the organism in Eukaryota, Metazoa, Chordata, Mammalia, Chiroptera, Rhinolophidae. The transcript has 3 exons.